RNAcentral lists this non-coding RNA (87 nucleotides) under uncultured Enterococcus sp. RNAcentral's name for it is "Purine riboswitch". It matches the Rfam family "Purine riboswitch aptamer", at positions 7 to 97 of the family's 102-position model. Rfam says of the family: Riboswitches are metabolite binding domains within certain messenger RNAs that serve as precision sensors for their corresponding targets. Allosteric rearrangement of mRNA structure is mediated by ligand binding, and this results in modulation of gene expression. A class of riboswitches that selectively recognises guanine and becomes saturated at concentrations as low as 5 nM. The record is from RNAcentral. Lineage: Bacteria; Bacillati; Bacillota; Bacilli; Lactobacillales; Enterococcaceae.
CAUAAUUAGUCUUCCUUAUAUAUCGUCGUAAUUGGUCGACAGUUUCUACCUGGUACCGUAAAUACCGGACUAUAAGUGAAAAAAGUG